Non-coding RNA from Strigamia maritima, 114 nucleotides. NCBI's taxonomy places the organism in Eukaryota, Metazoa, Arthropoda, Chilopoda, Geophilomorpha, Linotaeniidae. The record is from Rfam.
GUUGGCUAUGGGGAUAUGUCCCCAAAAACCUACAUCGGAAUGUUCGUAGGCGCCCUAUGCGCCCUCGCGGGAGUGUUAACCAUCGCUCUGCCCGUGCCGGUCAUUGUGUCCAAU